Molecule: long non-coding RNA, 578 nt
Filed under: Ursus americanus (American black bear)
Lineage: Eukaryota; Metazoa; Chordata; Mammalia; Carnivora; Ursidae
Description: lncRNA (ENSUAMG00000022273.1)
Source: RNAcentral
AGCGUUUGCCUCCGUAUUUCCAGCGGCGCGAGGGAAGUGGGUGAUUACCCUGCGGUUUUGUUUCUCAAAAAGCUCGGGCAAAAGCAGCGGCCGGCAAGGCUAGUGUUUGUCUGUGUGUUGUUUCCAUAUUGCUGCUCGGGACCUCAGUCCCUUGGGGCUGGGGCAGUGUUCCGAGAACAGCGGUCCCCGAGGCACUCUGACAGUUUCACCACUGCCACCGGGAUGAACCAAAGGCCAGAAGGGGAGCGGGGACACCCCGUAGAAGCCCCCCACAGCACCGGGCAGCGAUGGGAGAGAGAAGAGCCGCGGCCGCUCAGGAAUAUAUGGCAGCUAGUGCCCUCACUUGAGUGCAAACAGUCAAGCUACUGAAAUUCUAGCAUACUUUUUCAACCUGUGUGGCUUCUUUACGUAAGGUGCACUGUUUCCACUCGUCCUUGCACACCCUGUCUGUCCAAUUUCUGACAUGACUCCACUUAAUAUGAAACACCAGCUUUUCUUGUGGGGAAAAAAAAAUCAGACCAUGCCAGCAAAGAUCAGUGAAAGGCUGGGUUGAGGUUUGUUUGUCUUAGUGACAUGGG